ACUACGGGAGGCAGCAGUGAGGAAUAUUGGUCAAUGGGCGGAAGCCUGAACCAGCCAAGUAGCGUGCAGGAUGACGGCCCUACGGGUUGUAAACUGCUUUUAUACGGGAAUAACGCGCCUUACGUGUAGGGCUUUGCAUGUACCGUAUGAAUAAGGACCGGCUAAUUCCGUGCCAGCAGCCGCGGUAAUACGGAAGGUCCGGGCGUUAUCCGGAUUUAUUGGGUGUAAAGGGAGCGUAGGCCGCAUGUCAAGCGUGCUGUGAAAUGUCCGGGCUCAACCCGGGCCUUGCAGCGCGAACUGGCGUGCUUGAGUCCGCGGAAAGCAGGCGGAAUUCGUCGUGUAGCGGUGAAAUGCUUAGAUAUGACGAAGAACCCCGAUUGCGAAGGCAGCUUGCUGCAGCGGAACUGACGCUGAUGCUCGAAAGCGCGGGUAUCGAACAGGAUUAGAUACCCCAGUAGUC
RNAcentral lists this ribosomal RNA (460 nucleotides) under uncultured bacterium. RNAcentral describes it as "partial 16S ribosomal RNA". It matches the Rfam family "Bacterial small subunit ribosomal RNA", at positions 338 to 795 of the family's 1533-position model. The record is from RNAcentral.